GGACAAGAAAGAUGCUCUCCCAGGAGCCAGCAUCGUGAUCACAACAUAUGCAGUUUUCCUGUGGCUGAUGACCCAGCAGUGGUGGUGUGGAGGGGCCCCUCAUGCUCCACUCUGCUUUUCUCUCUUGCUUAUUCUGAAGAAACUAGCUGCCUUGUUCUGAGUUACUCUGUGGAGAGACCCACAUAUUAAGGAACUGAGAGCAUGACCACUGGCCAACAGCCCUGGAGUGAUUGAAUGUUUCCAAAAACCACUCACAUGAGCUUGGAAGAGGAUCAUUCCCCGUUCAAACCUUCAGCUGAGACUGCAGCCCUGCCGAUACCUUGAUUGCAACCUGGUGGGAUGCUUCUAAGACACCUCCAUUCCAGUUUCUGCACAUCUGCUUGACUCAUGGGAAGCUCAUGCAUCCUUGGCACCUGGAUCAGGGUCUCAAUCAGAUGCCAGUCUCCCCAGACUUCAGGGAAUUCACAGCAAACUAGAGAUAUUUCCUGUAAGUUCCUCUCACCAGGCAAGGCUGUGGUCAGGAGUCAUUGCCUCUCUCCUCUUCCAAGGGGACUGAGACUAACUUCAUACUGGACUACUUUCUCCAGAAAAAUCCUCUCCCCAGUUUCCAACUUCAGCCUUUUCAGAGAUGGCCGUUGGACCAAGAGUCAGAAAACUAUUUCCAUUUAGACCCUUUGCAAGGUUGGAAAUGUCAG
Pan troglodytes (chimpanzee) is the source of this 695-nucleotide long non-coding RNA. RefSeq lists it as uncharacterized. NCBI's taxonomy places the organism in Eukaryota, Metazoa, Chordata, Mammalia, Primates, Hominidae. The transcript is spliced from 4 exons. The record is from RefSeq and is a predicted model, not a curated record.